AUUGAACGCUGGCGGCAGGCCUAACACAUGCAAGUCGAGCGGAUGAGGGGAGCUUGCUCCUGGAUUCAGCGGCGGACGGGUGAGUAAUGCCUAGGAAUCUGCCUGGUAGUGGGGGAUAACGUCCGGAAACGGGCGCUAAUACCGCAUACGUCCUGAGGGAGAAAGUGGGGGAUCUUAGGACCUCACGCUAUCAGAUGAGCCUAGGUCGGAUUAGCUAGUUGGUGGGGUAAAGGCCUACCAAGGCGACGAUCCGUAACUGGUCUGAGAGGAUGAUCAGUCACACUGGAACUGAGACACGGUCCAGACUCCUACGGGAGGCAGCAGUGGGGAAUAUUGGACAAUGGGCGAAAGCCUGAUCCAGCCAUGCCGCGUGUGUGAAGAAGGUCUUCGGAUUGUAAAGCACUUUAAGUUGGGAGGAAGGGCAGUAAGUUAAUACCUUGCUGUUUUGACGUUACCAACAGAAUAAGCACCGGCUAACUUCGUG
This 484-nucleotide ribosomal RNA is filed under the name uncultured bacterium. RNAcentral's name for it is "partial 16S ribosomal RNA". It matches the Rfam family "Bacterial small subunit ribosomal RNA", at positions 30 to 507 of the family's 1533-position model. The record is from RNAcentral.